Molecule: transfer RNA, 74 nt
Filed under: Candidatus Dojkabacteria bacterium
Lineage: Bacteria
Description: tRNA-Arg
Rfam family: tRNA
About the family: Transfer RNA (tRNA) molecules are approximately 80 nucleotides in length. Their secondary structure includes four short double-helical elements and three loops (D, anti-codon, and T loops). Further hydrogen bonds mediate the characteristic L-shaped molecular structure. tRNAs have two regions of fundamental functional importance: the anti-codon, which is responsible for specific mRNA codon recognition, and the 3' end, to which the tRNAs corresponding amino acid is attached (by aminoacyl-tRNA synthetases). tRNAs cope with the degeneracy of the genetic code in two manners: having more than one tRNA (with a specific anti-codon) for a particular amino acid; and 'wobble' base-pairing, i.e. permitting non-standard base-pairing at the 3rd anti-codon position.
Source: RNAcentral
GCACCUGUAGCUCAACCGGAUAGAGCAUUGGUUUGCGGAACCAAAGGUUGCAGGUUCGAUUCCUGCCAGGUGCG